AUACGUAGGGGGCAAGCGUUAUCCGGAUUUACUGGGUGUAAAGGGUGCGUAGGCGGCCACCUAAGUCUAAAGUGAAAUUUCGGGGCUCAACCCCGGAGCUGCUUUGGAAACUGGGAGGCUAGAGUAUAGGAGAGGAAAGCGGAACUCCACGUGUAGCGGUGAAAUGCGUAGAGAUGUGGAGGAACACCAGUAGCGAAGGCGGCUUUCUGGACUAUUACUGACGCUGAGGCACGAAAGCGUGGGGAGC
This 247-nucleotide ribosomal RNA is filed under the name uncultured bacterium. Its description in RNAcentral is "partial 16S ribosomal RNA". It matches the Rfam family "Bacterial small subunit ribosomal RNA", at positions 523 to 769 of the family's 1533-position model. The record is from RNAcentral.